RNAcentral lists this transfer RNA (72 nucleotides) under Trichonephila clavipes. It matches the Rfam family "tRNA". From Rfam's summary of the family: Transfer RNA (tRNA) molecules are approximately 80 nucleotides in length. Their secondary structure includes four short double-helical elements and three loops (D, anti-codon, and T loops). The record is from Rfam by way of RNAcentral. Lineage: Eukaryota; Metazoa; Arthropoda; Arachnida; Araneae; Nephilidae.
AGCAGAGUGGCACAGUGGAAGCGUGCUGGGCUCAUAACCCAGAGGUCCGUGUAUCGAAACCCCGCUCUGCUG